AAAGCCUACAGCACCCGGUAUUCCCAGUCGGUCUCCAUCCAAGUACUAACUAGGCCCGAUCCUGCUUAGCUUCGGAGAUCAG
RNAcentral lists this small RNA (82 nucleotides) under Cricetulus griseus (Chinese hamster). The record is from RNAcentral. Lineage: Eukaryota; Metazoa; Chordata; Mammalia; Rodentia; Cricetidae.